This 254-nucleotide ribosomal RNA is filed under the name uncultured bacterium. RNAcentral's name for it is "partial 16S ribosomal RNA". It matches the Rfam family "Bacterial small subunit ribosomal RNA", at positions 524 to 776 of the family's 1533-position model. The record is from RNAcentral.
CACGUAGGGUGCGAGCGUUGUCCGGAAUUAUUGGGCGUAAAGAGCUCGUAGGCGGUGUGUCGCGUCGGCCGUGAAAACCUGCAGCUUAACUGUGGGCUUGCGGUCGAUACGAGCAUCACUGGAGUUCGGCAGGGGAGACUGGAAUUCCUGGUGUAGCGGUGAAAUGCGCAGAUAUCAGGAAGAACACCCGUGGCGAAAGCGGCUCUCUGGAACGGUACUGACGCUGAGACGCGAAAGCGUGGGGAGCGAACAGG